UACGUAGGGUGCAAGCGUUGUCCGGAAUUAUUGGGCGUAAAGGGCUCGUAGGCGGUCCAUCGCGUCGGGAGUGAAAAGCUGGGGCUUAACCCCAGUCCUGCUUCCGAUACGGGUGGACUAGAGGUAGGUAGGGGAGAACGGAAUUCCUGGUGUAGCGGUGAAAUGCGCAGAUAUCAGGAGGAACACCAAUGGCGAAGGCAGCUCGCUGGGACGGUACUGACGCUGAGGCGCGAAAGCGUGGGGAGCAAACAGG
Molecule: ribosomal RNA, 253 nt
Filed under: uncultured bacterium
Lineage: Bacteria
Description: partial 16S ribosomal RNA
Rfam family: Bacterial small subunit ribosomal RNA
Source: RNAcentral